CUGAUGAGAUCUUCAGUGUGGGUAUCUUGCAUUUAUGCCACUAAAACUUAUGAAGGAUGGGCAUUCACUUUUUUUUACACCAUCCUUUUCUCAGUGAUUCUUCUCUGGAGGAGGGUGACUGAACUUUCCAAGACAGACUGAACUUUUCUGUUUACCACCAUGAAACAUAACUACAAUGAAGAAGAUGCAGCCUUUAUCUCUCUGCUCUGUAUGAAAUUUGACCUGUGAUUCAUAAGAGGUGAUCCUCACUUUUCUAGUAUGCCCUUCAUGCCCUUCUUCCUGAAGGCUUCCUGCUCAGAGUUUUUUGAUAAGUGAAUGCAUUUUCUAGAUAUGCUUGCUUUCUUUUUUUACUUUCUUUUUUUUUUUUUUUUUUUUUUUUUGUUCCUCCUAUUCCUCUCUCAUUUCUGAAAAGAAGCAAUGAGAUGGAAGAAAUGGACUCUAAAAGAAGCUCAAAGGCAGAGAUUUUGCUGAAUGAUGACAGCAGACCGAAGGAGCCUCCGGAAAUUUUAGGUCAGCAUAGUACUUCUCUGAAAAUAUUCAAAAGUGAAGGAGUUGAGAAUCCGGCCUAAAGUAGGCAAGACCAAGAGCUUUGUGAUUUGCACAAGGAGGCUUCUCUCCUAAUCCAGGUAAGGUAGAAAGGAGG
This 643-nucleotide long non-coding RNA is filed under the name Anas platyrhynchos platyrhynchos (common mallard). Its description in RNAcentral is "lncRNA (ENSAPLG00000020215.1)". The record is from RNAcentral. Lineage: Eukaryota; Metazoa; Chordata; Aves; Anseriformes; Anatidae.